Molecule: long non-coding RNA, 2465 nt
Organism: Mus musculus (house mouse)
Lineage: Eukaryota; Metazoa; Chordata; Mammalia; Rodentia; Muridae
Product: predicted gene, 39198
Exons: 3
Source: RefSeq, a predicted model, not a curated record
UUUCUUUGGACCAUUUGCUUGGAAAAUUAUUUUCCAGCCUUUCACUCUGAGGUAGUGUCUGUCUUAGUCCCUAAGGUGAGUUUCCUGGAAGCAGCAAAAUGUUGGGUCCUGUUUAUGUUGUCAGUCUGUUAGUCUAUGUCUUUUAAUUGUGGAAUUGAGUCCAUUGAUGUUAAGAGAUAUUAAUGAAAGUAAUUGUUGCUUCCUGUUAUUUUUGUUGUUAAAGUUGGGAUUCUGUUCUUGAGGCUGUCUUCUUUUAGGUUUGCUGAAGGAUUACUUUCUUGAUUCUCCUAGUGCAUCGUUUUCUUUCUUGUGUUGGUGUUUUCCCUUUAUUAUCCUUUGAAAGGCUGGGUUCAUGAAAAGAUAUUGUGUGAAUUUGUUUUUGUCAUGCAAAUACUUUCGUUUCUCCAUCUAUGGUAAUUGAGAGUUUUGCUUGGUAUAGUAGCCUGGGCUGGCAUUUGUGUUCUCUUGGGGUCUGUACAACAUCUAUCCAGGAUAUGCUGGCUUUCACAGUCUCUGGUGAGAAGUCUGGGGUAAUUCUAGUAAGUAUGCCUUUAUAUGUCACAUGACAUUUUUUCCCUUACUGCUUUUAAUAUUCUGUCUUUAUUUAGUGCAUUUGUCGUUCUGAUUAUUAUGUGUCAGGAAGAAUUUCUUUUCUGGUCCAGUCUAUUUGGAGUUCUGUAGGUUUCUUGUAGGUUCAUGGCCAUCUCUUUCUUUAGGUUAGGGAAUUUUUUUCUAUAAUUUUUUGAAGAUAUUUACUGGCCCUUUAAGUUGAAAAUCUUCAUUCUCAUCUAUACCCAUUAUCCUUAUGUUUGGUCUUCUCAUUGUGUCCUGGAUUUCCUGGAUGUUUUGAGUUAGGAUCUUUUUGCAUUUUGCAUUUUCUUUUAUUGUUGUAUCAUAUUUUCAAUGGAAUAUUCUGCACCUGAGAUUCUCUCUUCCAUCUCUUGUAUUCUGUUGCUGAUGCUCGCAUCUACGGCUCCUAAUUUCUUUUCUAGGUUUUCUAUCUCCAGAGUUGUCUCCCUUUGGGUUUUCCUCAUAGUUUCUAUUUCCAUUUUUAGAUCUUGGAUGGUUUUGUUCAAUUCCAUCACCUGUUUGGUUGUGUUUCUUGUAAUUCUUUAAGGGAUUUUUGUGUUUCCUCUUUUAGGACUUUUACCUGUUUAACAGUGUUUUCCUGUAAUUCUUUGAUGGAUUUUGUGCUUCCUCUUUAAGGACUUCUACCUGUUUAGCAGUAUUCUCCUGCAUUUCUUUAAGUGAGUUAUUAAUGCCCUUCCUAAAACUCUCUACCUGCAUCAUGAGAUAUGAUUUUAAAUCUGAAUCUUGCUUUUCAGGUGUGUUGGGGUAUCCAGAACUCGCUGUGGUGGGAGUACUGGGUUCUGAUAAUGCCGAGUGAUCUUGGUUUCUGUUAAUACGAUUCUUAUGUUUGCCUUUUGCCAUCUGGUCGUCUCUGGUGUUAGAUGUUCUAGCUGCCUCUGGCUAGAGCUUGUUCCUCCUUUGAUUCUGUUAGCAGCUGUCAGCACUCCUGGUAGUCCAACUCUCUCCUGAAUCCCAGUGGUCAGAGCACUCUCUGCAGGUAAGCUCUCCUCUUGCAGGGAAGUUGCACAGAGCUCUGGGGCUCAGCUCAGCCUCCUGGUGGAAGAUGAAGGCCUGAAGCAACCCUGUCCAAGAAGCUCUGUUGCUUCUGCGACCCGUGUGCUCUCCUGUGAAGAUUGGUCUCUGAAAGACCUGGAAUACAAGAUGGGGCUCUCACCUGAGUCCCAGAGUCAAAGCCCUCUCUGGAGGCCAACUCUUCUCAGUGAUCCUAUGAUCCUGGGAGUUCUAGGGUGCUUGAGGUGUGGAGAGUCCUUUGGGGACCAUGGGAUCAUCCGCUGAGUUCGUGCCCGAAGUGGCCUGGGGCUGGCGCUAAUGAGAAGGCAUGAUCAAUUCUAUAACUACCUUUAAUAAGUAUUAUUUUAAUGUCAGUUUUUGCUUCUCUUCUAAAUUUAUUGUAUCAUAUUAAAGGAGGAAUUAUUCUUAGUUUAUGUUUUGUGGAAAGAAUGCUUUUAUUGGGUGAAUAGAUUUAAAUGAAUCAAAUUUUAAGAAUUCUUGAACUAGAAAACAUUGUUUCUACUUUUAGUUUAUAUCCCUAAGUUAAGUUCACAUAUUAAACUUGUUGAACAUUCUCUAAAUGAAAUGUGUGGAUGUAAGGAAAUGUCUUUUUAAAGAAAUUGAAUAGUAUUAUGAAAAAUAUUUGGUUAUAUAUUUAGAAAGUUUCCCUCCUUCUUAGGCUUAUUUCAAAAGUUGAAGUCUUGAAUGACUGGAAACUGAUUGGGCGCUCACCAGGAAAACCACUGGAAAAGGAGUCAAACUCAGAUCUUCAGGCAUCUUGCUGGCUCUAAGGUUCUUCUUUUUCAAUAUCCACUGUGUUGCUGACAGAAAGCAUGAAAUCGAACUUGAUUGUGCUGGGCAUGCUGCAUGUUCACACAGACGCC